Rattus norvegicus (Norway rat) is the source of this 1453-nucleotide long non-coding RNA. RefSeq lists it as uncharacterized. NCBI's taxonomy places the organism in Eukaryota, Metazoa, Chordata, Mammalia, Rodentia, Muridae. The record is from RefSeq and is a predicted model, not a curated record.
AUUGCACUGUAACUGGCUAUCAAGGACAGAGACCAUGGUGGUCGAUCUAUGCAUCUGUGCAGUAAUGUGACAAAAGUAAACUAUGUUUAUUGUGAAGUCACUGAGAUACUGAAGUGUUACUGUGUUGUGUCAGGAAGAAUCCUGAACCCCAGAGGACCACCAAGGAGCCAUUUCCAAUGUAAUGCUGUACAGAAAUUAAGCUGAAGUGAUGAUAAUGAUUCCAAGGAAGACAAGAGCUUCAACACUCUCAAGUUUUGACUCCUCACUAUUCACUGGAUUCCUAACAGAUUUGCAGUUUCUUGUAAGAGAGGUUUGUAUCUUUCCAAAAUAACUAAUAUUGAGCUCAGCCAAACCACACAUUCUGGAAAAAUGGCAGUAAGUGAGAAAAAGCACAUUAGUAACUGCACUUGACUUUCUUUAUUUUAGGGGACAUGUAAAUUUUCAAAUAAAAACUAUCCAUUUGAGAUACCAUCUAUAUUAAAUACCAUAAAUGUCAGCAUCAAGCAUAAUUCAGUCCACUCUAUGUUGCUUAAGAAUGAAACAUGACACUGUAAAAUGCAAUGAAAUAUAAAAUUAACAUACUGUCCUAAUAGCAAUUGAAAAAAUAUAGGGGAUACUAAAGAACGGUCUACAAAUUAUUGGUAAUAUUAUUUCUUACUCUGGAAUUAUAAACAUGGGUAUCAGUUUUAUUCUAUGUUAUAAAUAUACAGAAUUAUAAUUAUAUAUCUUUUCUAUAAGAACAUUUUAAUAAUACUAAGCAGAACUUUGUUAUCCAUUAGUUUACACACUAAACUCAGUACCAAAAACUAAUUGGCACUUGGUAACUAUGCAUUUUACUAACAGACAUAAACCACUUAACACUGCUUCUGGAAAAUGAGAGCCUGCAAAAUAGGCUACUAUUUUUCUUCUUGAUUCUUUUUUAAUUUUGCUGGAAAAUUAUAUCUUUUUUGGAACUCAAGUAAUUACUUUAAAUAUAAUAUAAAAUAGUAAUGAAUUCCCUUCUACAGAAACCUUAAAUCUAUUAGGAGAUUAGGAGGAACUUGAAAAUAUGUUGUCUCAUAAAAGUUGAUUAAAAAAAAUCUAUUGCAGGAGGGCCGAGCAGAAUGGCAGGGUAGAAACUAUGUGCCCUGUGGGUGCUCAUUAAAACUACUGGCUGCUUGAUUGACUGACCUAAAAAAAUGUCUCUAGGAAUUUUGCUCAAAAUAUUGAGUUUUAAUAGAACUGCUGAGAUUGGACAUAACCAGUUUAGAAGUUAAUACAGAAACUGAAUCCUACUGAUAACAUCAUUCUAUGUAGGUGGGUAGAAAUUUGUUUUGGGGGGUGGGCAGGAAGAGCAGUUGUUUGGAUUUGUAUUUUCUUUGAGGUAGAGGUGGUUGGAGUAUCUUUUGAAAAGACACAGGAAUGACAGGCUCCGGACACAAUGGCCGUUGUCCUCAGCUGACUCUUCAUCCUC